RNAcentral lists this ribosomal RNA (428 nucleotides) under uncultured bacterium. Its description in RNAcentral is "bacterial SSU rRNA". It matches the Rfam family "Bacterial small subunit ribosomal RNA", at positions 355 to 775 of the family's 1533-position model. The record is from RNAcentral.
UAGGGAAUCUUCGGCAAUGGACGAAAGUCUGACCGAGCAACGCCGCGUGAGUGAAGAAGGUUUUCGGAUCGUAAAACUCUGUUGUUAGAGAAGAACAAGGAUGAGAGUAACUGUUCAUCCCUUGACGGUAUCUAACCAGAAAGCCACGGCUAACUACGUGCCAGCAGCCGCAGUAAUACGUAGGUGGCAAGCGUUGUCCGGAUUUAUUGGGCGUAAAGCGAGCGCAGGCGGUUUCUUAAGUCUGAUGUGAAAGCCCCCGGCUCAACCGGGGAGGGUCAUUGGAAACUGGGAGACUUGAGUGCAGAGGAGGAGAGUGGAAUUCCAUGUGUAGCGGUGAAAUGCGUAGAUAUAUGGAGGAACACCAGUGGCGAAGGCGGCUCACUGGUCUGUAACUGACGCUGAGGCUCGAAAGCGUGGGGAGCAAACAG